Long non-coding RNA from Biomphalaria glabrata, 3361 nucleotides. RefSeq lists it as uncharacterized. NCBI's taxonomy places the organism in Eukaryota, Metazoa, Mollusca, Gastropoda, Planorbidae. The record is from RefSeq and is a predicted model, not a curated record. The transcript is spliced from 8 exons.
UGAUACAAUAAAUAUAUAUAGGUCUUAGUUCUGAACUCACAUCUCCUUAUAAUGAGAAAAUCUGAAGUCAAAAAAGGUAAAGGGUAAGAUCACAGACCUACAUAAUCUAGAUUGUCGAAACAUGACAUUUUUUGUUAUCUCCAUGGAAACUAAAAGGCAAUAAACUUUUGAUUAUAUCAUAGAUUAGAUUUGAGUGAAAAAUUUCUGAAGUUCUGUGAUUAAUAGAUCUAGCCUCUUCUAGAUCUAUUUAACUAUUUAAAAUCCGCGAAAUGGGAUUGUAAUAUUUCUAAACUUUAAAGACUAAAGAUCAUUUUUUUUUUCUGAAAAUGAAGACCGAUUUCCAAGAUUUAGAAAUUAGAUCUAUAGAUUAUUAGAUAUAGAUCUAGAUAGAAUAGUUCUAGAUGAUAUUACUAUUACUAGAGUCUAGAUCUAGAUUAUAUAUUACAAGCUUAAUAGGAAAGCCUUGAUGCUGAAACCAAGAAGCACCAGCAUACCACAUGCUGGCUAAAUGAUCUUCAAUCUUGGCAUUGGCAAUGAGAUGUGAAAUAAAUAAACUAUGAAAUAAAAAAAAAGUACAAUCAUUAAAUUAAAUCAUCUAAUGUGAAUAAGCAUUUGGGUUUGUAGCAUGUGCAGGGGCGGACUGGCUAUACGGGCAUUGGGGCAAAUGCCCAGUGGGCCGGUAUCCAAAUGGGCUGGUAGGACUACAACUGCCAUGGUCUCCACAUUGAAACUGCUAACACAACCACAUGGACCAAAGAUUUUGACUGAGUGAGAGCCAAGAAAGUCGAUGUAGGCUCCAUAGCCUGCUCUUUCAGAAUCUAUCGAUGCCGACCCAUCAGUGAAUGCAAAAAUAGCACUGGGCUUGAAGAUUUGAAAAAAUUAAAAAACACCAUUCAUGAAAUGUACAAAUUAUAUUUGUUUCUAUACUGCAUUCUUGGAGCUGCUGUUUAUAAGAACUCAGUUAUGUCUUCAUUUCAAAGUGUACAUUUAUUUAAAGGCAUUGAAGGAGUUGUGAAUGGAAUGAUUAUGUUUUAUGUAUUAGGUAUGUUCUGGGCCGAGUGCAAACAGUGUGAAAGGUUACUUCUCUGAGAUGUGGAACUACAUGGACAUCACCAUGUUGGCGUUUUAUACUGCUGGCUACUCCACGAAGGUGUGAUCUUUACAAAAACCAAUAGAUACUUUGCUGACAACCAACUGAUUCACAUUGAAGGAUGUUGGCAAGUUCACCUUCAUCUAUUUCAGUCAUGAUUGCCUUUAUAUGUGGACAAAUAAGCCUAUACAGUAUUUCCAAGAAUGAGAACUUUGCAGGGUAGAGUCAUUUGACUUACAAGCCUCUUAGAGACCACUGGGACAUUGUUCUGGGCUGCCUUUGGUAUGGGGAACUCUCAGGCACCAGCUAUUAAAGAAGAAACAAAUAGCAGUCAAGUUAAUGGUGACUCAGAGAUAAGAGACAGUGUGCUGCUGAAAGUCAUUGAGGUGGUUGGCUACGUUUUGUAUGGAGUUUACAUUCUUGAUGCUGUCGUGGUCCUGAUCAACUUGUUCAUUGCUAUGAUGAAUUUGAAGACAUUUAGAAUGCCCAAAAGAUUAGUCAGCUAAGGAGCCUAAAAUGUUAGCCUGUUUACAAAUAUGAGAUCUUCCUUGACUACACAAGUACCUUACAGAAGAAGGCUACUCACUUGUGUUUGGAUAUGUCAGCUGUUUUGUCCCUGUGGCCCUUUUCAAGCAUGACAGAUACUAUUCUAAGCAGCUUUUUUCUCUGGAAAUUAUUCAACCACAGAAGCUGUGAGGGAUAUCUGAAAUCCAUUGCUUACUUGUCUAGAAAGACUUCCAUCGAUUGAGUGAUAAAAGAUUAAAUGUACACAACUUUUAGUAGUCACCACAUAACAAGAAGGAUAAGGUCAAAGGUUAAUUGGACAAACAAGUUAAUAAACUUUGUCUUUGAAUCUGAAAUUGUAGAACUUGUAGAGAAAAAAAAAACAACUAAGUGUUUUUUAUUUUAAUUUACCAGGCACCAAGUACCUACUAUUCAUUUACUUUGACUGUUGACUUUAAGUUAGAAAUUAAGGAAAGAUUUCUUUGAGCUAUAUUUGUCAAUGACCAUAGGCAUUAAGAGAGUUGACACCUCAUUUUACUUUUCAACAAGAUGAUGUCUUAAAGAAAUUAAGAGCUUUUGAUGGAAUUCUGUGGUUGAAUAACAAAAGGAAUAAUCACAGGAUUCCAUCAAAAUCAUUGCAAUUUGAACAUUGUUUGUAGUGUCAAUGUUAUUAAGUUUACAUAAAGUAUUUAAGUAUAGUUCUUGGUGUUGAUACAUUAUUCAUUUUCUAGUGACCAGGCAGUGUUUUAUACCAUGAAUGAAUAUCUGUUGUAAGAGAUUUAAGGUAUACAACUCCAUUAAUAAUAUCUUUGACAAUAAAAUAUUUUGAUCAAGUUUAUAUUUUUGGAACAGAAUAUGCUAAUGUGUUAAAUGCACAUUUUUCUUUUUUUUUUGGAAUAACAACUGAUAUUUAGUUUUAUCCCUUUGUAUCUUUCUACAGUAGAUGCACUGUCAUUCUAAAUAGAAAUUUUAAAAAAUUAUAAUUUCUAAUCAAAUUGUCUCCCUUUUAAAAUCAAAUAUCUAAAUGAAUCAUGCUACUUUGAUUCUACACAAUCUACAGGACUACCAAUGUACAUUAGUUUCGAACAAAAAGUUGCUAACUUUAAAUAAUUGAUUAACACAUUUUGAUAUUUAUGUAUACCUUGUAAUAAAAGUGGCAUUCAUUUUACAAUUUCAUUUUUUUUUUUUAUUGUAACUGGUCUGUGUUAAUUUCUUUUUUUUUUUCAAAUUACUUUGUAUUGCCAAUAUGGGGAAAUGGUAUUUCUGGUGUUUCUUUGCUCAGCAAAAACAAGUCAGGAUUUGAACUCAAGCCCCCUUGACAGUGGUUUAUGCCAGAUAUCCAGCAUUUCAUGUAGUUUGUAGGCCAAAUUUGAUACUCACAGUGCCCCAGUGCAGGUAGAAAGAGGAAACCUUGCCUCAUUAAUGUUUGCUGCUCCAGACUUGCUGCUCUCUAUCUCAACUGAUCUAGGAAGCACUACAGCUGGGUUUCAGUCCACUGCAUUGGCUAGAGAGGAUUUCAGUCUCUCAGGCUGCAACUUAAAUGAAGUCUGAUGUGAUUUUAUUCUUUAAAAGUUGUAUGGAUGUCUUUAAGCUACAUAACUUAUCCUAGUCCAAUGUUUUGAUUGACAUAGUUACCAGGUACUGGUACUAAAAAAAUUGCCGCUUUUAUCCUCCCCUUCCAGCAACCCUUAGAUCUAGUUUUUCUAAAUUUCUAGUAGUUUAAUAGUGCUUUUCCAUAUGUCAUUAAAAAGUUAUGUUAAAAGUUAA